UGCCUCUCAGGAUUACAGCUGGAGAGUUUCCAGUACUCUACCAGUCUCAGCUAAUGGAGGGAGAGUCAAGCAGGGGCAUACCCAUUCCACUCCAAGCUUGGCUAGUGGCUAGCGAGUGGAAGGCAAGCUGCUACAAGU
This is a small nucleolar RNA of Tachyglossus aculeatus (Australian echidna), 138 nucleotides long. The record is from RefSeq and is a predicted model, not a curated record. Lineage: Eukaryota; Metazoa; Chordata; Mammalia; Monotremata; Tachyglossidae.